Molecule: ribosomal RNA, 495 nt
Filed under: uncultured bacterium
Lineage: Bacteria
Description: partial 16S ribosomal RNA
Rfam family: Bacterial small subunit ribosomal RNA
Source: RNAcentral
AUUGAACGCUGGCGGCAGGCCUAACACAUGCAAGUCGAGCGCGAAAGUCUUCGGAUGAGUAGAGCGGCGGACGGGUGCGUAACGCGUAGGAAUCUACCUAGUAGUGGGGGACAACUCGGGGAAACUCGAGCUAAUACCGCAUACGCCCUAAGGGGGAAAGUGGGGGACCGUACGGCCUCACGCUAUUAGAUGAGCCUGCGUAGGAUUAGCUAGUUGGUAGGGUAAAGGCCUACCAAGGCGACGAUCCUUAGCUGGUCUGAGAGGAUGAUCAGCCACACUGGAACUGAGACACGGUCCAGACUCCUACGGGAGGCAGCAGUGGGGAAUCUUGCACAAUGGGCGAAAGCCUGAUGCAGCCAUGCCGCGUGUGUGAAGAAGGCCUUCGGGUUGUAAAGCACUUUAAGUGGGGAGAAAAGGGUAGUCAUUAACACUGGCUAUCUGUGAUGUUACCCACAGAAUAAGCACCGGCAAACUUCGUGCCAGCAGCCGCGGUAA